RNAcentral lists this transfer RNA (68 nucleotides) under Octostigma sinensis. RNAcentral's name for it is "tRNA-Ser". Lineage: Eukaryota; Metazoa; Arthropoda; Diplura; Rhabdura; Octostigmatidae. The record is from RNAcentral.
AGAAAAAUCAGUAGAAAAAAGAAGCCGCUAACUUACUUUUUAUGCGGUUAAAAUCCGUAUUUUUUCUU